UUAAAGGCUUUAUUUAUUUCCUGAUCUUGAUCACAUCCUUAGAGAAAGAAAAAGCCACCAAAAAAAAAAAAAAAAAAUCCU
Camelus ferus (Wild Bactrian camel) is the source of this 81-nucleotide non-coding RNA. The record is from Rfam. Lineage: Eukaryota; Metazoa; Chordata; Mammalia; Artiodactyla; Camelidae.